Molecule: small nucleolar RNA, 85 nt
Filed under: Meriones unguiculatus (Mongolian gerbil)
Lineage: Eukaryota; Metazoa; Chordata; Mammalia; Rodentia; Muridae
Description: Small nucleolar RNA SNORD71 (ENSMUGG00000002335.1)
Rfam family: Small nucleolar RNA SNORD71
About the family: snoRNA HBII-239 belongs to the family of C/D snoRNAs.
Source: RNAcentral
UGUGUGCUGGAGGAUGAAAUAAGGAGUGAUCCAUCGGCUAAGUGUCCUACCACUGUGCUGAAACUCAAAUUGCUGACAGUGCACU